RNAcentral lists this unclassified non-coding RNA (197 nucleotides) under plant metagenome. RNAcentral's name for it is "partial contains small subunit ribosomal RNA, internal transcribed spacer 1, and 5.8S ribosomal RNA". The record is from RNAcentral.
UCUCCGUUGGUAAACCAGCGGAGGGAUCAUUACCGAGUGCAAACUCAUAACCCUUUGUGAACCUAUAUCUGUUGCUUCGGCGGCUCGCUCUCGGGCGAGCCCGCCGGUAAUAUCAGUAUCUCUGUUUGAACCCGACGAUACUUCUGAGUGUUCUUAGCGAACAGUUAAAACUUUUAACAACGGAUCUCUUGGCUCUA